GCGCAACCGCAGUGAAAGCGAGCCUGAACAGGGCGUCGAGUCAGAGGGGGUAGACGCGAAACCAAGUGAUCUACACUUGUCCAGGUUGAAGUCCCGGUAACACGGGAUGGAGGACCGAACCAAUAAGCGUUGAAAAGCUUCUGGAUGAGAUGAGUGUAGGAGUGAAAGGCCAAUCAAACUUGGAGAUAGCUCGUACUCCCCGAAAGGCAUUUAGGUGCCGCGUCGGAUGGUCACCGUGAGAGGUAGAGCGACCGAUAGGACAAGAGGGCUUCACCGCCUAUCGAGUCCUGACGAACUCCGAAUGCUCACGGUUUGCAGUCCGGCAGUAAGGGGGCGGGUGCUAAGGUCCGUCCCCGAGAGGAGAAGAAUCCAGACCGCCGUCUAAGGUCCCGGAAUUCUGUCUAAGUUAGUCUAACGAAGUGGGGUCUCAGUGACAGCCAGGAUGUUGGCUUGGAAGCAGCCAUUCAUUCAAAGAGUGCGUAACAGCUCACUGGUCGAGAGUCCCUGCAUGGAUAAUAAUCGGGUAUAAGGCAGAUACCGAAGGCGCGGGAUAGCAUUAAAAAAAGUAUCGGUAGGGGAGCAUUCCAUAUCCGUCGAAUGGUGCGGGUAACCUAUCCUGGAGGAUAUGGAAAAGCAAAUGUAGGUAUAAGUAACGAUAAGGAGGGUAAGAUUCCCUCCCGCCGCAAGACUAAGGUUUCCCGGGCAAUGUCAAUCAUCCCGGGGUCAGUCGGGUCCUAAGUCUCAGCCGAACGGCGAGGGCGAUGGCAGACACGGUCAACAUUCCGUGACUACCGUGGGCAGCGAUGCGGAGACGGAGCAGUGAAACUUCCGCGAACCGACGGAAUGGUUCGUUAAAGAGUGUAGGUGUUGAUUCUGG
Molecule: ribosomal RNA, 877 nt
Filed under: Leyella stercorea
Lineage: Bacteria; Pseudomonadati; Bacteroidota; Bacteroidia; Bacteroidales; Prevotellaceae
Description: partial 23S ribosomal RNA
Rfam family: Bacterial large subunit ribosomal RNA
Source: RNAcentral